Molecule: non-coding RNA, 127 nt
Organism: Aspergillus nanangensis
Lineage: Eukaryota; Fungi; Ascomycota; Eurotiomycetes; Eurotiales; Aspergillaceae
Source: the annotation of a GenBank genome assembly
AGCAUGUUAGCUCAGGGGAAGAGCGCCGGGCUCAUAACCCGGAGGUACGUCACAACCAUCCACAGAUUCGCCAAAUUCAUUAUCCUAAUGAACCAUCAGGUCCCUGGAUCGAAACCAGGACAUGCUA